Molecule: non-coding RNA, 72 nt
Organism: Phrynosoma platyrhinos (Desert horned lizard)
Lineage: Eukaryota; Metazoa; Chordata; Lepidosauria; Squamata; Phrynosomatidae
Source: the annotation of a GenBank genome assembly
GGCUUGUCAGUCUAGGGGUAUGAUUCCUAUUUUGGGUAAAAGAGGUCCUGGGUUCAAAUCGUGGAUGAGACU